GUACUCUGGGGUCCUGCCAAAUAGGAACCUUCACUUCCACAGCACCUUCUCCAGUCUAGGAAGUCCCUCCUUUUAUCUCACCCAACCCUCUCUUGCUGUUGUGGAAAAGAAUUUCUGACUCUAGGCCAGGUGACCCCUGAGUCUGGGCCCCUCCCCUUUCCAGGCUUCCCGGCACCCUCUCUCACACAUCGGGGACCUCUGGGAGACUCCACAGCUACGGGUAUAUCCCUGAGAAAGAACCCCCUCCCCCACACCAUCCUUCCCUUUUUCUGUGUGUCUCGCCCUCUUCAUCCUUAGACCUCCCCUCCGCCCUCAGGAACACGGUGGCAUUGUUCCCCUGGACGGGGCCCUGCCUCAGGGCCUGGACUGGUGCCCAGGUAGGGGGCCAGGAACAAAACCCAGCCAAGGAGGGGUAGGAUGCCCUGUGUGGCCACACCAACCUCCUUGGGCAUGUCGGGCUGCCACUUGGCGUUCUGCAGGCAGGACAGAGGCGAAUGGACCCCAGCGCACACUGCACCAUGCCACAGCACGCACGGGUCAGGGCCUUCCCAGAACUGGGCGCAGUUUUUCUAACAACUUCCAACAAAGACUGCCACGGAGCCCCAUUUUGUGCCCUUUGAAUAAUGCUAGGGGAGAUGAAUGGCCCGGCACAUGCCAGGUGGGGCACUCCAGGGACCGGUUAGCGGCUCAGCUCAGCACUCUCACACUUUGGGGUCUACAUGGAGUUGGGGUUGAAGCCAUACCAAGUUGUCACCCCAGAGGCCCAAGCCCUGGGGACUCUUAAGCUUCCUUCCACGUGGGGCCCAAGAGGCAGGUUGGCCCAGACUGCAGAAUCUGGCAGGUUGGGGCAUGAGAGAAAAAAGAGCGGCCCACCCGUCUGGGGCCCUGGGGGAGGAUUUGGGGUGGCACAGAAUUCUCCAACACAGGGCGGGCCCUGGAAGCUGUGAGAGAUGGCUUCAGGGCCCCCGAGGAGGUAUAAAUGACGACAAAAGGUUGGACUCCAGAGGCUGAGGCAGGAGAAUCACAGGUUGAAGACCAGCCUGGGCUGCAGAAUGUGACCCUGUCUAGGAGGUAGGAAGAUCAAUUCAAAGGCAUCCUUGGGAUACAUGAGCUCAAAGGCAGCACCCAGGUCCAGCAUGAACUUGGCAGUCAUGCCCACACACUCUAGAAGAUUCCAGAUAUAACAAUUCCAGCAACCAUCAAAUCAUCCACCUGGAAUUCUGACCUGUAUCCUCAAGAGAUGGCAAUGAUCUGAGACUGUUUCUCAAACUAGGAAUGCCCAGGACUGCAGGCCUGAUCUAAACCCUGACAUGGGGAAGGCCACCAGGGGAGAGCCCCUGCCUGGCUCCUCUCCGGGCUGGAGGCUCGAACCCAGACCAAAGGAGGCUGGCGGCGGCCGUUGCCGGGGAGUAGCCGUUUCUGGUGCCUCCACAGACCACUUCUGAGUGUCCUGCCUGCUCAGACCCCUGUCGCCUCAGUUUCCCCACCUACUGAAGGAGACAGGAAGAGGCGACCUCCAGAUCGGUUUGAGAGUUCCAUCUAUCAAAGUGAGCCAAAGGCUAGCACACCCCAGUAGCCCAGCCCGUUGCCACAAGGAGGAACAGGGGGUACAGGUGCCCUCCAUGGUUUCACCCAGCAGCGCAAGGCGACGUGGGUACUCCCGGAAGUGGGUGUGGGUCAUAGGCCAAAGUAGUUGCCAUGGAAGUGACUGUAGAGGACACUUGUGGAAGCUGGAGCAGGCAGCACCUGCUGCGGGUGGCGUCCGUCCGUCCGGAGGGGGCCUGGGCAUGAGUCAUUGCCCAGCAAUGAGGUUGAGUCACAGGGUGGGGUCCCCCGCACUCCCCCCACCAGCCGCUCCUACAAAGGACCUUUGAGAAGAACUCAGCAUCCCCGCCCAGCCUCCAGGCCGUCUCUGGUGUUAGUUGUGGGCAUAGACACUUCUGGGCUGCCCCCAGGAGGCUGGCCUGGGCCUGGGUGUCUGCCACAUGUGUGAAAAGUCACCAUCCAGGGCCUAGCAUUCCCAGGGAGGGGGCUUCCUGGCCACCAGAGCCACUGCCAGGACAGCAGACGAUCUUUCUUUCUUUCUUUCUUUCUUUCUUUGUUUCUUUCUUUCCUUCCUUCCUUCUUUCCUUCUUUCUUUUCCUUCCUUCCUUCCUUCCUUCCUUCCUUCUUUACUUCCUUCCUUCCUUUCUUGCAGAGCCCACGCAGGCACUCAGCAGGCUGAGUCAGGAAUAGCGGGUGCUGGAGGCAUCGCCCCAUCUUCAGGACCACUCUAGCCUGAGGGGCUUCUCUCCUAGAGACCUUGGAGCCUUCUCAGUCAGGACACAGACAGCCAUACCAGGCCUGAGGAUGCCAAGAAGCCUCCACUUGGGUACAAGGGUUAAGAAGGAGCCAGUAGCCAGCGGUGGUGUUGUACACCUUUAAUCCCAGCACUCAGGAGGCAGAGGCAGGUGGAUCUCUGAGUUUAAGGGCUGCUGGUCUACAGAAAGAGUUCCAUGAUAGCCAGGGCUACACAGAGAAACCCUGUUUCAAAAAAGAAAAAGGAGCCAUUUGUGGGAGGUGUAUACCUUUAGUCCCAGCACUCAGGCAAGUGGCUCUCUGCAUGUUUGAAGCCAGACUGGACUACAUAUCAAGUUCUAGGCCAGCAAGGAUACAGAAUGAGACCCCAGGUGGCUUAAAAGGUCAGCUACAGGGAGUGGGUGGUGGAGUGGGGGUACCUGGAGGUGGCUCAGCAGUCCUCCAGAGGAUCCCAGCACCCACAUGGCUGCUCACAACCCGCAGUAACUCCAGUUCCACGGAACCAGAUGUUAUCUUAGACAUGCACACAGGCAAAACAACCAUACUUAUAAAUAAAAGAGAGAUUUAAUAAAGCAUCAAAAGAGCUGUUCA
Molecule: non-coding RNA, 2889 nt
Organism: Cricetulus griseus (Chinese hamster)
Lineage: Eukaryota; Metazoa; Chordata; Mammalia; Rodentia; Cricetidae
Source: RefSeq, a predicted model, not a curated record